Molecule: ribosomal RNA, 429 nt
Filed under: Chloroflexota bacterium
Lineage: Bacteria; Bacillati; Chloroflexota
Description: Chloroflexi bacterium partial 16S ribosomal RNA
Rfam family: Bacterial small subunit ribosomal RNA
Source: RNAcentral
UGGGGAAUAUUGCACAAUGGGCGCAAGCCUGAUGCAGCCAUGCCGCGUGUAUGAAGAAGGCCUUCGGGUUGUAAAGUACUUUCAGUCGGGAGGAAGGUGGUAAGGUUAAUAACCUUAUCAAUUGACGUUACCGACAGAAGAAGCACCGGUUAACUCCGUGCCAGCAGCCGCGGUAAUACGGAGGGUGCAAGCGUUAAUCGGAAUUACUGGGCGUAAAGCGCACGCAGGCGGUUGAUUGAGUCAGAUGUGAAAUCCCCGGGCUUAACCCGGGAAUUGCAUCUGAUACUGGUCAGCUAGAGUCUUGUAGAGGGGGGUAGAAUUCCAUGUGUAGCGGUGAAAUGCGUAGAGAUGUGGAGGAAUACCGGUGGCGAAGGCGGCCCCCUGGACAAAGACUGACGCUCAGGUGCGAAAGCGUGGGGAGCAAACAGG